Long non-coding RNA from Salvia hispanica, 679 nucleotides. RefSeq lists it as uncharacterized. The record is from RefSeq and is a predicted model, not a curated record. Lineage: Eukaryota; Viridiplantae; Streptophyta; Magnoliopsida; Lamiales; Lamiaceae.
AAUCAUCUGUCAACACAAAUAAAAGAUAAAUGGAGUGAACAGAUGGCUCGUUUGAGUCGAAAAAUGGCCCUCCGUACCAGAAAGAGUGUCCCCUGACUCAACACCUUUGUAUCCCCAUUUGCAAGCCGUAUCCAUACUCUCAGCAGCAUACCUGCAAUACAUGAUAAUGAACACCAACUACAUUCGUAAUAAAUGUUUGUUUUUCAUCCACGUCGAUAAUUUCUUGCAUUUCUUGAUGCAGAUACUCACUUGCUCACACAAGAAGAUAUGUGACUACAUUCUCUCCAUGAGGCAAGAUCGCUGGACCAGAGUCCCUGUUUGCAACAAUGGAUGUGGCAUAACGAAUCAGACUAUAGAUUAUACGAUCAUUUUGCAAGUAAUACCAUUUUGAUCAUAAGCUUUACAGAUUCGACUUGUGCCUGAACCAGCGCAACUCCACAGUGUUUCCACCUUCGUCGCUUGUGAACCCAACAUGCAUUGGCUAACAAAGGCGAAACCACAACUAAUCGACAAUCACAGUGAAACCAGAAUUCAUGCAGCGUCGAUCAGAGGUCCCGUGAUGGUAAUGUGAGAGUUGAUUGGUGAAGUUCCGGAUGGCACCUGCGACGCACAUAUCCUUCGCACCCUUUGGGUCAUGGCAGUCCCCUAUGUUCAUCCGUCAAUAUCAGAUACCAUAACA